This 497-nucleotide ribosomal RNA is filed under the name uncultured bacterium. RNAcentral describes it as "partial 16S ribosomal RNA". It matches the Rfam family "Bacterial small subunit ribosomal RNA", at positions 28 to 507 of the family's 1533-position model. The record is from RNAcentral.
GAUGAACGCUGGCGGCGUGCCUAAUACAUGCAAGUCGAACGAACAGACGCGGCGCUUGCUCCUCGGACGUUAGCGGCGCACGGGUGAGUAACACGUGUAUAACCUACCUGUAAUACUGGGAUAACUUCGGGAAACCGGCGCUAAUCCCGGAUGAUAUAUUGAUCCGCGUGGUUCAUUGGUGAAAUACGGUUUUGCUGUAACUUCUAGCUGGAUCCGCGCCGCAUUAGCUAGUUGGUAAGGUAACGGCCUACCAAGGCAACGAUGCGUAGCCGACCUGCGAGGGUGAUCGGCCACACUGGAAGGGAGACACGGUCAAUACUCCUACGGGAGGCAGCAGUAGGGAAUCUGCCGCAAUGGUCGAAAGCAUGACGGAGCAACGCGGCGCGAGAGAUGAAGGUCUCCGGAGCGGAAAAACCGGUUACGAGUGAAGAACAAAUUUGUAAGGAACUAUGCACGGCUUGACGGUACCUAAUAAGAAAGCAACGGCUAACUACGUG